RNAcentral lists this long non-coding RNA (360 nucleotides) under Setaria italica (foxtail millet). RNAcentral describes it as "long non-coding RNA (SITA_LNC003840)". Lineage: Eukaryota; Viridiplantae; Streptophyta; Magnoliopsida; Poales; Poaceae. The record is from RNAcentral.
GGGGAUCGGAAGGGGGACCCGUAGCCCGCGCCGUAAAGGUUGACCGGCGCGCGAGGCCAGUGAGGCUGACGGCUCGGGCCCCGUGGCCGUCCUGACUCCUGCAGCGCGCGUACGCGACGGGGACAGCCCGUGUGCCCAGGGCCGCGCCCGCCCCCCUGUAUUGUACUGUACCGUGCGGGUACCGGCCGGGCGGGCGCCACCACCACCACCUUCCCGCACGCGCCGAGCGCCGUGGACAGACGUGGUGUGACGCGACACCAGCUAGCUCGCUAUUGCCUGCGCCGGGGACCGGCCGGCCGGGCCGGGCGUCGCGUGACCUGUGAGGAGCCGUGGCCGCUCCUCCACCUCCGUACGUGGCCC